AUGAAGAACGCAGCGAAAUGCGAUAAGUAAUGUGAAUUGCAGAAUUCAGUGAAUCAUCGAAUCUUUGAACGCACCUUGCGCUCUUUGGUAUUCCGAAGAGCAUGCCUGUUUGAGUGUCAUGAAAAUAUCAACCUUGACUUGGGUUUUGUGCUCUAGUCUCGGCUUGGAAUUGGGUGCUUGCCGCUUUUACGAGCGGCUCACCUUAAAUGUAUUAGCUGGAUCUGUCUUUGAGACUUGGUUUGACUUGGCGUAAUAAGUAUUUCGCUAAGGACAUUCUUCGGAGUGGCCUCGUUUCUAGGACGCUUGUCCGCUUUCCAAUACAAGUUCCACCUCGUGGACAUGACUUUUUAUUAUCUGGCCUCAAAUCAGGUAGGACUACCCGCUGAACUUAAGCAUAUCAAUAAGCGGAGGA
RNAcentral lists this unclassified non-coding RNA (412 nucleotides) under soil metagenome. RNAcentral's name for it is "partial contains 5.8S ribosomal RNA, internal transcribed spacer 2, and large subunit ribosomal RNA". The stretch from base 1 to 119 matches the Rfam family "5.8S ribosomal RNA", at positions 36 to 154 of the family's 154-position model. The record is from RNAcentral.